GGAAGGAUCGGCGAGGAGGAGGUGCAAGAACUGUAGUAAAAUUUGAUGAAAGGAACUUUAGGUAGAGACGUCGUUUCUCCUGGAAGAAUUGGUCGAAGGUGGAGAAAUUGAGGCGAAAUUUGCUAAAACGAACGUCGGCAGGAGAAGAAGCACAACGUUCUACUAAAAUUCGAAACGAACAACGACAAGCUAAUGGCACUUUCGUCGCAAACAACGAACUUGUUAUCGGUAUAAUAGUAAAUGAAGGAUACAACGACAAGGAAAUGAGAUAUGUAAAACUAUAUGGAAUCAUCGGUGUACCUGUGAAUAUGCACAGGGUGUCUCGCGUAUAACAAACA
Long non-coding RNA from Bombus pascuorum, 338 nucleotides. RefSeq lists it as uncharacterized. Lineage: Eukaryota; Metazoa; Arthropoda; Insecta; Hymenoptera; Apidae. The record is from RefSeq and is a predicted model, not a curated record. The transcript has 3 exons.